UUCUUUGUGCCACAGGUGAAGGAGGAGGUCCUCAGUGAUGAUGAAGAGAUAACUGAGUUGUGGCCCAGAAAACCAACUGUAUCCCAAGCUACAUCAAAAGGAGCAUGACCAGGAGGUCAAAGAAGGUACAUUUGAAUACUGUACCAGAAGAUGUGAAACUGCCACCCUUUCUAGGCCCUGCAAACACUCUGCUGAAGAACAGAUGAUGGAGGUUUCUCACACCCCUAAAUCCAAGAAACAAAUCCCCACAGAGCCUAAAUUGGAUCACCAGAGACUGAGCAGCAUUUAGCAAGUUGCGUGUCUCCUAUUGGUAUGAUGCAUCUUCUUCCCCAUACCCUAUCAGCUCUGCUCUGUGGACCAACUUUCUUUUAUAUCCCUCCAAAGCCUAGAUUCAUAUCACCUGCCUAAGCUAAGCAUCACAAAUACAUAUAUAGUAAAUAGAGUGUCACCUGCUUAGGACAACUCAAAGAUAAGCCUCCAGAAAUGGUUCUUUCUGACUAUUUAGAAAGUUAAAGUGACUGUCUUCUAACAUUACACUUCUUACUCUGGUGCCUU
Long non-coding RNA from Pezoporus occidentalis (night parrot), 555 nucleotides. RefSeq lists it as uncharacterized. NCBI's taxonomy places the organism in Eukaryota, Metazoa, Chordata, Aves, Psittaciformes, Psittacidae. The record is from RefSeq and is a predicted model, not a curated record. The transcript is spliced from 3 exons.